GUGCUCGCUUUGGCAGCACAUAUACUAAAAUUGGAACGAUACAGAGAAGGUUAGCAUGGCCCUUGCGCGAGGAAGAAUUUUAAAGUGAGCCCACACAGUAUGUU
Small nuclear RNA from Meriones unguiculatus (Mongolian gerbil), 104 nucleotides. Lineage: Eukaryota; Metazoa; Chordata; Mammalia; Rodentia; Muridae. The record is from Ensembl.